RNAcentral lists this ribosomal RNA (207 nucleotides) under uncultured bacterium. RNAcentral's name for it is "partial 16S ribosomal RNA". It matches the Rfam family "Bacterial small subunit ribosomal RNA", at positions 568 to 774 of the family's 1533-position model. The record is from RNAcentral.
AGCGUAGACGGAUGGACAAGUCUGAUGUGAAAGGCUGGGGCUCAACCCCGGGACUGCAUUGGAAACUGCCCGUCUUGAGUGCCGGAGAGGUAAGCGGAAUUCCUAGUGUAGCGGUGAGAUGCGUAGAUAUUAGGAGGAACACCAGUGGCGAAGGCGGCUUACUGGACGGUAACUGACGUUGAGGCUCGAAAGCGUGGGGAGCAAACA